AAAGUAAUAAUAAUAAUAAAUAAAAUAUAUUUCACAGGUAUUAAAAACUGUCUUCUAAACAGGAGUGGAAACAGAUGAGAAUAAACACUUAGAUCUACAUUUAUCACAGUCUAACUGGAAGCAGAAACACCAGCAUUGAUCUCAGACAAGCCAAUUCUUUCAGCACACCCCAAAGAAAAAUGCAGACCAUGCUUUCAGAACAGCAGGCGACACUAACAAACACUGAUGCCAGUUCUCACAAGAGACAAAGAAGAUGACAAUCAUGAGGUAAUGGCAUCAUGAGCAGGUAGGAGCCCCAAGCCCUGAAGCACUGAACGGGAAUCCAACCAACAUGCAGUGUGUCGUGCAGACCUUGAUUCCUAGACCAGCUUCUUGUUCUUGGCCACUUUCCAGGAAUUCUGAACUCUGUGACAGACAAGUAGCUAUAAAGGUAAUGUAUGAUCCUUACAGUCCUUGAAUCAUGAUAUUAAUGCCAUUUGAAUAUUUGGCAUCCCUACUGAAGAAAAUAGGAUCAGUCUGGUAAUCUGUUGGCUGCUGUAGGAUCUAAGAAGUUGUAAUCCUUAGCUUUCCUGCCAACGAAUUCCUCAUUAAGCACAAGAUAUCCUGAAACAAAUCACUAGUAAAACCUCUCCAGGUGUUAAUAUAUGUAGAGUUCUUCUAAGCAGAUAAUUCUAGCCAAAAAUUAUAUUUUUUUUCUACUCUCUUUCUGUCAUUGCGCCAAGCUGAAAUAGUCUAAAGGUUUCCAUAUAUUGCAAUGUGUGAUUUGGGUUAAAUGCUCAUAGUGAAGCACAGGGAA
This 796-nucleotide long non-coding RNA is filed under the name Anas zonorhyncha (Eastern spot-billed duck). RNAcentral describes it as "lncRNA (ENSAZOG00000000862.1)". Lineage: Eukaryota; Metazoa; Chordata; Aves; Anseriformes; Anatidae. The record is from RNAcentral.